This 484-nucleotide ribosomal RNA is filed under the name uncultured bacterium. RNAcentral describes it as "partial 16S ribosomal RNA". It matches the Rfam family "Bacterial small subunit ribosomal RNA", at positions 30 to 507 of the family's 1533-position model. The record is from RNAcentral.
AUUGAACGCUGGCGGCAGGCCUAACACAUGCAAGUCGAGCGGAUGAAGGGAGCUUGCUCCUGGAUUCAGCGGCGGACGGGUGAGUAAUGCCUAGGAAUCUGCCUGGUAGUGGGGGAUAACGUCCGGAAACGGGCGCUAAUGCCGCAUACGUCCUGAGGGAGAAAGUGGGGGAUCUUCGGACCUCACGCUAUCAGAUGAGCCUAGGUCGGAUUAGCUAGUUGGUGGGGUAAAGGCCUACCAAGGCGACGAUCCGUAACUGGUCUGAGAGGAUGAUCAGUCACACUGGAACUGGGACACGGUCCAGACUCCUACGGGAGGCAGCAGUGGGGAAUAUUGGACAAUGGGCGAAAGCCUGAUCCAGCCAUGCCGCGUGUGUGAAGAAGGUCUUCGGAUUGUAAAGCACUUUAAGUUGGGAGGAAGGGCAGUAAGUUAAUACCUUGCUGUUUUGACGUUACCAACAGAAUAAGCACCGGCUAACUUCGUG